RNAcentral lists this ribosomal RNA (391 nucleotides) under uncultured bacterium. Its description in RNAcentral is "bacterial SSU rRNA". It matches the Rfam family "Bacterial small subunit ribosomal RNA", at positions 28 to 417 of the family's 1533-position model. The record is from RNAcentral.
GAUGAACGCUGGCAGUGUGCCUUAGACAUGCAAGUCGAACGGGAAGUCUUUAAAGCUUGCUUUUUAGGCUUCUAGUGGCGAACGGGUGAGUAACACGUGGGUGACCUGCCCUCGAGUGCGGCAUAACCCCGGGAAACCGGAGCUAAUUCCGCAUGUGCUUGCACCUCUGGUGGUAGUAAGUAAAGAUUUAUCGCUCGAGGAUGGGCCCGCGGCGCAUCAGCUAGUUGGUGGGGAAAAGCCUACCAAGGCGACGACGCGUAGCCGACCUGAGAGGGUGACCGGCCACAGGGGCACUGAGAUACGGGCCCCACUCCUACGGGAGGCAGCAGUUAGGAAUCUUCCCCAAUGGCGAAAGCCUGAGGGAGCGACACUGCAUGAGGGAUGACGGCCU